RNAcentral lists this long non-coding RNA (413 nucleotides) under Androctonus crassicauda. The record is from RNAcentral. Lineage: Eukaryota; Metazoa; Arthropoda; Arachnida; Scorpiones; Buthidae.
AGAAAAUCCUGACAAUGUCAUGAUUGAAUACUUUUCAAAGUUCAAAAAAACAGUUCUCUACCAGAGUCACAAUUGCAGCAGGAUGGUGUUGAUGCAAGGAUGAUGUUCGUCUGGUUGGCAUUGAUUCUUUUUCUUUCUUGGCUGUUGAAGAUUGAUGCAGAGGAGGAUAGUAGAGAUGGGCAAUGUGAUGAGCGAAGCCGAGCAGCGAAGCAGAAAACACAAGACUCAACAAAUUUCCUAGGAUGUCUAAUUCGACUGCCUCCUAUCAAAAUUCUCAUGCCUACUUAUAUAUUGUCUCUGGUAACAUAACCUUACUCUCAUUGCAGUAAGACUAGAUCAUUAUUUACAAAAUCUGUUGUUGCGCGACACUUGUGUUUACAAUUAACCACGAUUUAAUUCAGUCGGGGACAAGA